CCGCUGCCCGCUCCGCCACCUGGAUCUAUCUACCUCUACGUUUACACUUGCGGUGACGGGUCACGAGGAGUGCAGCACAGCGCCAGCUUCCUGGUUCGGAAAGGUAAGGGGCGGAGCCCUGUCCACCUGGUGGCGACGUCCGGACACAUCGUGGUGCUGGGGUGGCACCUACACACCGCCCAGUCAGUGUGGACCCUCCCCGUCAUCACAUACAACCAGGGCUACACGCCACUACACUGGGCCUGCUACAACGGUACGUACUGGACAGAGGGACAGCGAAGUGAGCCCGAGGCCACAAACAAAUACACACAUAAAUAUAGCGUGUCUUAAAUCACCACAACCAGCUUCGGGAGGGCACGAACCGAGACAGUCCGCACAGGAGCCUUAAAAGUCCCUCAGACUGAGAGAGAGAGAAAAGGGGGGAGGGAGAGGGGGAGGAACAACAGGCUGGCUGGCCCACACUCAUCCUCUCGUACCACCAGGUGUCCUUCCAGCAGAUACUGGACUUCAGAGGAACUGCUGCUUCUAUACCCCAUCUUUACCUUUACCCACAAAGGUCCUAAACGGUAGAAAGUGUCCGGCCAACAGACAGACACCUUAUGAUGGCAAUAACCUGUAGUCCAAGGGGAUAGUAGCACUUCACUGAGAGCAAAACAGACAGGGAUCAAAAGAUGUGGAAGAAGCAUUUUCAAAACCUGUUUUGACUGUAGAUAUUGGGCUGAGUGUUUGGGCUGUUUCAUUUAAGUUUCAUGAGAGUGAUUGUCUUGUUUAUCCGCACACUAAGACAGUCAGAACGCACCUAGCCUCUUGUCUGUAAUCCAUGUGGGAGGAGGGGAAAUCAUACAUUUUCUAUGAACAAACAUUUUUUUUUAAAUCAUUCAUGUCUUAAGCUCUGUGGGAAUCAACAAAUCGUAGUAUUUGCUCUCAUGAGUAAUUGUAAAGAUUUAAUGCAUCCCAAAUGGAACCCUAUUCCCUAUACUGAAUAGUACACUACUGUUGAACAGGGCCCAUAGAGUUCUGGUCAAAAGCAGUGCACUCUAAAGGAAAUAGGGUGCCAUUUGGGAUGCUGGUUCUGCAUACCGGUAUGUGAGCAACAGGACUUUUUGAUGGGACAUAUUACAUUUGUGUUAUUAAACCUACCUGUCCUUUGGCCUCUAGAAAGUAUUUUUGAAAGUAAAUGAUUAAUUCAUGUGUUCUUUCUUGUGAUAUUUAUGUCAUAAUUUUGUGCCUUCGUUAGUUACUGAGGGGUGGUUAGGAGAGUAGGGGCACCUGUAUGAGCGAAAACAAUGAUGCACACUAAGUACUACAACGUUUGUGAAAAGCACCGAUACUAUCCCGAGGCAUGUGAGGUGGAAAACAUGUCUCCCUUGGAGAGGAGAAACACUGUAAACCAAUAGUAGGACAGCAGCAAUUAGAUUUUCUUCUGUUGGAAAAUAAAUAUCUAUAUUAUUUGUCUUUGGUCUUAUAAUCAAUGUUUUUUUAAAUGAAACCACUUAAUCCUUGUAUGUGAUUGCAUGUUCAAAUCCCAGUUUCUGUCUCUUUUUGAAAAUCAUUUUAACUGGAAAUAUGUGCAAUACAUUUGCUAUGUUCACCAAAUCAGCAACAAGAGGUUCACAGGUUUUUUCGUGUCAUUAUCAUUAUUUUAAACGGAUGAAACUAGCACGUACAUAUGAAAUAGUGACUGAAUUCGAAACUCCCAUGAAUUCUUUCAGUAUCUGAAGUUUGCUGUAUAUUUUAUGAGUAAUAAAUGUUAUUUAAUGAUGAA
Salvelinus namaycush (lake trout) is the source of this 1765-nucleotide long non-coding RNA. RefSeq lists it as uncharacterized. The transcript is spliced from 2 exons. The record is from RefSeq and is a predicted model, not a curated record. Lineage: Eukaryota; Metazoa; Chordata; Actinopteri; Salmoniformes; Salmonidae.